UCGUUUUUUCUAUCUUUCAGAGAACGGAAACCCUCACCAAAACCCUCGAGACGGUUUUCUCUCAGAUUCACAAUCAAAUCCAAAAUCUUUUGAGCUUUACUAACGAAUCAAAACCUGAGUUUCAGUAAUCAAAAUCUGGAAAUCUCGAUCUAUUUUCUAGAACCCUAAAGAAUUCCUAAUCCUAGAAUCCAAAAUCAAUUUUGUUCAUGAAAUCCGAAAUCAAUUCAUCUGAUAGUUGAUUAUCAUCAGGUGAAUCUACUACGGCUGAGAACGGAACAGGGGAAGGCGAGUACUAUGUCUGGCACGAGUGAAUCUACUACAGCUGAGAACGGAACAGGGGAAGGAGAGUACUACGUCUGGCACGAGUGAAUCUACUACAGCUGAGAACGGAGCAGGGGAAGGGGAGUAACACGUCUGGCACGAGUGAUUAAUUUCAAGUUGGUUCCUUGAAGUAUCUCUUGAAGUAUCUUAGAAGUGGUCUUAAACAUGUUUUGUUUGUACAUUUUUUUUUUUGAGGUGAUGGCUAUCUUAGAUGCCAACUAGAUGUUACCUUUGUAUUGUAUGAUACGCUUGUCAAGCAAACUUAAAGAUGACGGGUCUUGUAUAAAAAUAGUAGUACUUGUAUUUUGGUUUUACAUAUGCAAGGCUCAUUAUAAAGAUCAAACUUUGUUUUCUUUCUA
Papaver somniferum (opium poppy) is the source of this 680-nucleotide long non-coding RNA. RefSeq lists it as uncharacterized. The transcript has 4 exons. NCBI's taxonomy places the organism in Eukaryota, Viridiplantae, Streptophyta, Magnoliopsida, Ranunculales, Papaveraceae. The record is from RefSeq and is a predicted model, not a curated record.